GUCGGGAGUUAGGAAAUGUAAGGAUGUUAACAGCGUCCUUACUUGACUAAGGCUCCGGAGGAAGCCACGGCUAACUCUGUGCCAGCAGCCGCGGUAAUACAGAGGCGGCAAGCGUUGUUCGGAAUUAUUGGGCGUAAAGAGCACGUAGGCGGCAUUGCAAGUCAGCUGUGAAAUACUUUCGCUUAACGAAAGAACUGCAGCUGAUACUACAAAGCUAGAGGGCGGAAGGGGAGAGUGGAACUUCUGG
Molecule: ribosomal RNA, 247 nt
Filed under: uncultured bacterium
Lineage: Bacteria
Description: partial 16S ribosomal RNA
Rfam family: Bacterial small subunit ribosomal RNA
Source: RNAcentral